GAUGAAGAACGUAGCGAAAUGCGAUACUUGGUGUGAAUUGCAGAAUCCCGUGAACCAUCGAGUCUUUGAACGCAAGUUGCGCCCGAAGCCAUUAGGCCGAGGGCACGCCUGCCUGGGCGUCACACGUCGUUGCCCCCCCAUCUACUCCUUCGGGAUUGCGGGGGGCGGAUGAUGGCCUCCCGUGCACCUUGUCGCGCGGUUGGCAUAAAUGCCAAGUCCUCGGCGACGCACGCCACGACAAUCGGUGGUUGCGAAACCUCGGUUGCCCGUCGUGUGCGGUCGUCGCGCAUCGAGGGCUCGAAAAAAUUGCCGGGCUCCGGCUCGGCUUUCAACGCGACCCCAGGUCAGGCGGGGUUACCCGCUGAAUUUAAGCAUAUCAAUAAGCGGAGGA
RNAcentral lists this unclassified non-coding RNA (391 nucleotides) under soil metagenome. Its description in RNAcentral is "partial contains 5.8S ribosomal RNA, internal transcribed spacer 2, and large subunit ribosomal RNA". The stretch from base 1 to 122 matches the Rfam family "5.8S ribosomal RNA", at positions 35 to 154 of the family's 154-position model. The record is from RNAcentral.